RNAcentral lists this transfer RNA (75 nucleotides) under Bradyrhizobium sp. RNAcentral describes it as "tRNA-Glu(ctc)". It matches the Rfam family "tRNA". Rfam says of the family: Transfer RNA (tRNA) molecules are approximately 80 nucleotides in length. Their secondary structure includes four short double-helical elements and three loops (D, anti-codon, and T loops). Further hydrogen bonds mediate the characteristic L-shaped molecular structure. tRNAs have two regions of fundamental functional importance: the anti-codon, which is responsible for specific mRNA codon recognition, and the 3' end, to which the tRNAs corresponding amino acid is attached (by aminoacyl-tRNA synthetases). tRNAs cope with the degeneracy of the genetic code in two manners: having more than one tRNA (with a specific anti-codon) for a particular amino acid; and 'wobble' base-pairing, i.e. permitting non-standard base-pairing at the 3rd anti-codon position. RNAcentral also lists the same sequence under 2 other names. Lineage: Bacteria; Pseudomonadati; Pseudomonadota; Alphaproteobacteria; Hyphomicrobiales; Nitrobacteraceae. The record is from RNAcentral.
GCUGCCAUCGUCUAGCGGUCAGGAUCACCGGUUCUCGACCGGUCGACGCGGGUUCGAGUCCCGCUGGCAGUGCCA